This 253-nucleotide ribosomal RNA is filed under the name uncultured bacterium. RNAcentral describes it as "partial 16S ribosomal RNA". It matches the Rfam family "Bacterial small subunit ribosomal RNA", at positions 524 to 776 of the family's 1533-position model. The record is from RNAcentral.
GACGAACCGUGCGAACGUUGUUCGGAAUCACUGGGCUUAAAGGGCGCGUAGGCGGGCGGCCAAGUCGGAGGUGAAAGCCUGCAGCUCAACUGCAGAAGUGCCCCCGAUACUGGCCAUCUUGAGGGAGGUAGGGGCGUGCGGAACUUCCGGUGGAGCGGUGAAAUGCGUAGAUAUCGGAAGGAACACCGGUGGCGAAAGCGGCGCGCUGGACCUCUUCUGACGCUGAGGCGCGAAAGCCAGGGGAGCGAACGGG